RNAcentral lists this ribosomal RNA (676 nucleotides) under Agromyces sp. RNAcentral describes it as "bacterial SSU rRNA". It matches the Rfam family "Bacterial small subunit ribosomal RNA", at positions 335 to 1016 of the family's 1533-position model. The record is from RNAcentral. Lineage: Bacteria; Bacillati; Actinomycetota; Actinomycetes; Micrococcales; Microbacteriaceae.
ACUCCUACGGGAGGCAGCAGUGGGGAAUAUUGCACAAUGGGCGCAAGCCUGAUGCAGCAACGCCGCGUGAGGGAUGACGGCCUUCGGGUUGUAAACCUCUUUUAGUAGGGAAGAAGGGCUUCGGCUUGACGGUACCUGCAGAAAAAGCACCGGCUAACUACGUGCCAGCAGCCGCGGUAAUACGUAGGGUGCGAGCGUUGUCCGGAAUUAUUGGGCGUAAAGAGCUCGUAGGCGGUUUGUCACGUCUGCUGUGAAAUCCCGAGGCUCAACCUCGGGCCUGCAGUGGGUACGGGCAGACUGGAGUGCGGUAGGGGAGAAUGGAAUUCCUGGUGUAGCGGUGGAAUGCGCAGAUAUCAGGAGGAACACCGAUGGCGAAGGCAGUUCUCUGGGCCGUAACUGACGCUGAGGAGCGAAAGCGUGGGGAGCGAACAGGAUUAGAUACCCUGGUAGUCCACGCCGUAAACGUUGGGCGCUAGAUGUGGGGACCUUUCCACGGUUUCCGUGUCGUAGCUAACGCAUUAAGCGCCCCGCCUGGGGAGUACGGCCGCAAGGCUAAAACUCAAAGGAAUUGACGGGGGCCCGCACAAGCGGCGGAGCAUGCGGAUUAAUUCGAUGCAACGCGAAGAACCUUACCAAGGCUUGACAUAACCGAGAACGCCGCAGAAAUGUGGAACUC